Long non-coding RNA from Ceratina calcarata, 449 nucleotides. RefSeq lists it as uncharacterized. Lineage: Eukaryota; Metazoa; Arthropoda; Insecta; Hymenoptera; Apidae. The record is from RefSeq and is a predicted model, not a curated record. The transcript has 2 exons.
UUGUGCUUUACGCGCGCACACAGAAGCCCCACACAGCGUACAAAAGACUGUACAUAUUACACAUCGGUGGCUUUUUAGAGCGACGAGAAAAAAUAAGUAAUUAAACGAUGAGGACGGACCAAGUGGUGGGUGAGAGAGAGAAAGAGACAGGGGUUCCCCUUGAACCCUCUGCUCGGCAGCUCUCCCGCCCCUUUACUACUCGAUCGCGACCACCCACGGGAUGUUGUCGACUACUGCAUUGAGAUGCGUCGAGGAAAUCGCACUGCUCUCUUCUCCUCUCCCUCUCUUGUCCACCUUUCCCGCGAACCGGUGGACCUGCGCGACUGCAACCUCGCGUUUUGGCAAUCACGACCAGAAGCUUUUACAGACAGACGUUUAUCGACCGAGUGCAAAUUAUAAAACCAUUUUGUACUUGUUGACAAUCCAAUAAAAUUAAGAAUCACGAUCAA